GAUGAAGAACGUAGCGAAAUGCGAUAAGUAAUGUGAAUUGCAGAAUUCAGUGAAUCAUCGAAUCUUUGAACGCACAUUGCGCCCAUUAGUAUUCUAGUGGGCAUGCCUGUUCGAGCGUCAUUUCAACCCUUAAGCCUAGCUUAGUAUUGGGAAUCGACUUUACUAUCGUUCCUCAAAUUCAACGGCGGAUUUAUAGCAAUCUCUGAACGUAGUAAUUUUUUUUCUCGUUUUUGAAAUACUAUAAACCUCAGCCGCUAAACCCCCAAUUUCUUAUGGUUGACCUCGGAUCAGGUAGGAAUACCCGCUGAACUUAAGCAUAUCAAUAAGCGGAGGA
This 334-nucleotide unclassified non-coding RNA is filed under the name soil metagenome. RNAcentral's name for it is "partial contains 5.8S ribosomal RNA, internal transcribed spacer 2, and large subunit ribosomal RNA". The stretch from base 1 to 120 matches the Rfam family "5.8S ribosomal RNA", at positions 35 to 154 of the family's 154-position model. The record is from RNAcentral.